RNAcentral lists this long non-coding RNA (1032 nucleotides) under Phasianus colchicus (ring-necked pheasant). Its description in RNAcentral is "lncRNA (ENSPCLG00000010675.1)". The record is from RNAcentral. Lineage: Eukaryota; Metazoa; Chordata; Aves; Galliformes; Phasianidae.
AUGGUGGCAAUGCCAAGUGGGAGCAGGGAGUGACAGGGAAUGGCUAAGCCUGUGGCCAGGGGCACUGCAGGCAAGGAAAAGCCAGCAUUGCUUCAGGGCUAACAAAUGUGCCCAGCUGAUGUGUGUACACUGCAAUUCCCAAGCACGGGCCACAGCGUGCCAACUCAGUCUUUUAUUAAUCUCAGCUAAUAGAGAACUGAUUGGGGUAUAAACAGUGUUUUGUAUGUGGAACUAGGCUCAAGCUCUUUGAAUAAGCUCUGAACAAAUGGACUUAGCCCUGUGCAGUUAACCCUCCCCACAGCCAUGAGCACAGGAGGUGUGCUGGGAGUAACCCGUAGGCAGACAGAACAUACACCUGGAAAGCUGCCUUGCUCCAGCAAAAGCAGCUUUGGAUGUAGUGAUCCUGCUACAGAGCCAGUUACAUUACAUAGAAUAGGCUGAUUUCAGUUGCACAAUGGAUUUAGACCUAAUAUAGAAGAAACCCACAGAAAUAGUUCUGUGCAAUUUCAGACUAAUAAAAGCGGGGAUUAAAGCCCACAUCCCAAGGGAGCAGUCACAAUAUGCCAGCCUGCUUUCCCCUCGAACCCUUCAACUCAGACUUUUCUCUUUCAGGUUCCUACUUUGUGACUCUCAGCAAACUCUUGGAUACAAGACUUUUUCUCACAAGAAAAAGUGUAACUGGAAAGACAUGCAGACAGCUCAGUCCAGCAGGCUUGUGAAAAGAACUCUUCGGACAUUGUACACACAAAAGAUCUCAACUGGAGUCAAGAUGAUGACCUUCAGAAAUAGACUGACCCAUUAGUUUGUCAAAAGAUUGACAGUUGGCCAAGGGAAACAUCAAAAGUUAGCAGACACAGAAUCACUCACAGUGCAUUGUAUUCAAUUCAGAACAUUACAUCGGAGAGGAAAAAAACAAAAACAGUACCAAAUAUGAAAGCUGGGAUGCAUGCCGACCAUUGCUUCUCACAGCAUUUGAAAAGCCUAGAUGUUCCUACAACUGUCAAUCACGUUCCUGGCAAGGUCUGAUUUUUU